Molecule: long non-coding RNA, 667 nt
Organism: Uranotaenia lowii
Lineage: Eukaryota; Metazoa; Arthropoda; Insecta; Diptera; Culicidae
Exons: 3
Source: RefSeq, a predicted model, not a curated record
AAAUGGUUAAAUUCAAUGGAGAAAAAGUUAUGCGGCUAUUGUUUUCCAUAGUAUCGAAAACAUCUGCCAGCACAUCAAAUAUUCGGUUUUGAUAAUUUUACUGCUUCUAAAUCAGCCCGCUUAUGCCGACAAAUUCACAGUCGAUGAACUGGAAGAAGAUCCGAGUGGCCAUCAGAUCCGGCGGAACAAAUUUGAAUACUGGCGGAACAGUCCGAUAAAAUUACAAACUCGUCCAGCAGUGAAAAAGUGCUGUUCCGCAAUCGAAAUGACACAGGAUGUGGAACAGACCACGGACCAAAUAAUAGAACGGUCCUAUAUAGUUCUAUUCCGAAUUAUGUGCUUAGAAAUUGGGUUCCAGAAAAGAUAACACCCGUUUAGAUUAAGAAACGUCAGCUACGAAUGAAUGGAUCUUCUCCGUGAACAGCCAGGAGCCCCGGAAAAUGUUCAGUGAAGGUGGAUUCGAAUUGAGCUUUGAUUUUUUUCUUACCGACAACCGGAUCGGCUGGAUGGUCACACUCAAGAAGUCAUUUUGAACUGCCGGAACAAAAACAUCCGGUAUCUUAACAUUUUCGUCGACACAUGUCAUUUCAUAUUUCAUAGUGAGCCGGUUACAAAGCAAACUAUUUUAACCGGGAGAUUUGAAUUAUUGCCCUAUAAUUUGUUGUUA